Corapipo altera (White-ruffed manakin) is the source of this 1181-nucleotide long non-coding RNA. RefSeq lists it as uncharacterized. The record is from RefSeq and is a predicted model, not a curated record. NCBI's taxonomy places the organism in Eukaryota, Metazoa, Chordata, Aves, Passeriformes, Pipridae. The transcript is spliced from 3 exons.
GGGGUGACAGCAAUGGGAGAGGUGCGGCCUCAGCGUCUCCUCAGUAGCUCCAAGUUUGCAUCUCUUUCCGCAUGCAGACGUCCCCCUGCCCUCCCCCCCCAAAAAAACCAGCUCUGCCUAGGAAAUGGUUUUGAGGAAUUCUUGUACAAUACAAGUGUGCUGAACUUAUAGAGUGCUCCGUACAAGGAGCUCGCCUUAAUUCUGUUGAGAAAAGCCUAUGUUGUUCCCUGAAAGUUUGUAAUACAAUGCUUUUAAAAAUAGAUAUAACCUGUUUAACAAACUCAGCAGGAAAUGUGAAGAAGUGCAUCUCCUACUUUACUGGAGGUGCAUUCCACCUGGCCAACAGCACAGUGUGCCUCUGGAUAUGCUAAAGAAAACCCAAAGCAGAGAACAUGACACAGAAACCUUUAGCUCUGCUGGUGUAAUACCCUUCCCAAGACAGCAGAGCAGGGAUGAGAAGAAGAGAAGCUUCUGGAAAAGAGGGACUCAUUUCCCAAGUGGAUGCAGGAGCAAAGCUGCUAAGUGUGUGCUUCAGCUAAUAGGGGGGUGGCAGCAACCAGAGACAGCAGUCGAGGAAAUGUGAGAUUACUGGCAAAGGUCCUGGAGGAGGCAGAAAUAAGGUGCAGAAGAGCAUGAAUGAAGGGUGAUAACUUACCAUGUUCUUUUUACUUAGCCCUGCUUAGGUGCAGCCUAGCCCUCAACACAAAUUUGUCCCAGUUUCCAAUUUGGAGGAAGGGAAGACAGGUGAAGGUGAGCAUCUGCUUAUACCUUGCCACCAGUAUCUCUAUCUGCAAGGAAGCUCUUCCAUAUGCCCUGCUCCAGUUCCUCUCCCCAGUUCCUACAGCAGCUCCUUAUUCACUCAGGGAAGAGCUGUGGUAUGAAGAGGGCGUUGUGGUUUACUGUCCCAGGCCCCACUGAUUAUCAGGCACCAAUUGUCCCAGCUGGUGGCAUAGAAAGAUUUAAUUUAACUGAGAGCAUGAAAACCACAACCUGGAGCAAAGCAGCUUCUGUAGUGUGACCUAAUUUGAGAGCAAAUGGACUGGGAUCAAAAAAGGUCAUGGUGACAAAGUGGAGUUAAAAGCUGACUUAGAUCAACAUGCUCAAGCAAUUGAGAAACAAAGGGAAUAAGGAAAUAACAUGUGACAGAUUCAAAAAUCAAUAAACAGGUUGUGGUUAAUGUG